GGGCGUCGUGGGCACGAGGCAGCAAUGCCUCGGCGCCGCCGGCGCUCCUCCUUCUGGUUGGCCCGGCUGCCCUUCGCUGGGUGGCCGGUGUCCGGCCAGGACGUUUACUUUGAAAAAAUUAGAGUGUUUAAAGCAGGCGUUCGCUUGAAUACAUUAGCAUGGAAUAAUGGAAUAGGACCCUGAUCCUAUUUUGUUGGUUUUCGGGAUCGAGGUA
RNAcentral lists this ribosomal RNA (214 nucleotides) under uncultured fungus. RNAcentral's name for it is "partial small subunit ribosomal RNA". The stretch from base 96 to 214 matches the Rfam family "Eukaryotic small subunit ribosomal RNA", at positions 743 to 864 of the family's 1831-position model. Lineage: Eukaryota; Fungi. The record is from RNAcentral.